AGAGCAAGUCGGACGGUCGCUGCUGGAGUGGUCUCAGAUCUGGGAUUUCAGAUCUGAGAUUAAUGCCAGGAGAGGAAAGUCCGAACACCGAAGGGCAGCGAGCCCGCUAACGGCGGGGCGUUCCGGCGAAUUUCGAAUUUCAAAUCUCAAAUUUGAGAUGGGGUUUUGGAACUUCGGGACGACGACAAGUGCAACAGAGAAAAGACCAGCCGACCGCGCUUCGGCGCGGGGUGAUGGGUGAAACGGUGCGGCCCGCAGGGGCUUAAAGUAAGAGCGCACCGGCGCGCGUGGUGACAUGCGUGGCCAGGCAAACUCCUCGCGGUGCAAGACCAAAUAGGGAGGCGUAAGAAGGGCGGCCCGCCCAAAUCCCGGUAUAACAUAUCGGGAUACGACCUCCGGGUAGGUUGCUUGAUCCAACCGGCAACGGUUGGGCUAGAGGAAUGAUCGUCGCUCCGAUUUCAGAUUUGAGAUCUCAAGUUUGAAAUUUCAAAUCUGGGAUCGGAGAACAGAAUUCGGCUUACAGACUUGCUCUCAAU
Molecule: RNase P RNA, 536 nt
Filed under: Acidobacteriota bacterium
Lineage: Bacteria; Pseudomonadati; Acidobacteriota
Description: Acidobacteria bacterium RNase P RNA component class A
Rfam family: Bacterial RNase P class A
About the family: Ribonuclease P (RNase P) is a ubiquitous endoribonuclease, found in archaea, bacteria and eukarya as well as chloroplasts and mitochondria. Its best characterised activity is the generation of mature 5'-ends of tRNAs by cleaving the 5'-leader elements of precursor-tRNAs. Cellular RNase Ps are ribonucleoproteins.
Source: RNAcentral